GAGUUUGAUCAUGGCUCAGAUUGAACGCUGGCGGCAGGCCUAACACAUGCAAGUCGAGCGGAAACGAGUUAUCUGAACCUUCGGGGGACGAUAACGGCGUCGAGCGGCGGACGGGUGAGUAAUGCCUAGGAAAUUGCCCUGAUGUGGGGGAUAACCAUUGGAAACGAUGGCUAAUACCGCAUGAUGCCUACGGGCCAAAGAGGGGGACCUUCGGGCCUCUCGCGUCAGGAUAUGCCUAGGUGGGAUUAGCUAGUUGGUGAGGUAAGGGCUCACCAAGGCGACGAUCCCUAGCUGGUCUGAGAGGAUGAUCAGCCACACUGGAACUGAGACACGGUCCAGACUCCUACGGGAGGCAGCAGUGGGGAAUAUUGCACAAUGGGCGCAAGCCUGAUGCAGCCAUGCCGCGUGUGUGAAGAAGGCCUUCGGGUUGUAAAGCACUUUCAGUCGUGAGGAAGGCGGUGUAGUUAAUAGCUGCAUCGUUUGACGUUAGCGACAGAAGAAGCACCGGCUAACUCCGUGCCAGCAGCCGCGGUAAUACGG
Molecule: ribosomal RNA, 540 nt
Filed under: Vibrio parahaemolyticus
Lineage: Bacteria; Pseudomonadati; Pseudomonadota; Gammaproteobacteria; Vibrionales; Vibrionaceae
Description: bacterial SSU rRNA
Rfam family: Bacterial small subunit ribosomal RNA
Source: RNAcentral